Long non-coding RNA from Columba livia (rock pigeon), 441 nucleotides. RefSeq lists it as uncharacterized. The transcript is spliced from 3 exons. Lineage: Eukaryota; Metazoa; Chordata; Aves; Columbiformes; Columbidae. The record is from RefSeq and is a predicted model, not a curated record.
ACCUCACAGGAAGCUUUGCCAGGGGAAGAAUCCUCUCUACAUCCGCUGCAGACCCCCACAAAGCCUGCAGCAGCAGGCGUGUGGCAGCUUAACCUGCAUGCAGAAAGGUGUCCACCAGAGAAAGCUCCUGGAUCUGGCACAAGUUGGCGAGAAUUUCUGAUGCUUAUUUAAAUGGAAUCAGGACCUGUGAAUUCUUGGGUCAAUCCUGGGUCAACAAGGUUUUACAAAUCUAAAGCAUCUACCAAGUCUUUGGCCAUUCCUCCAUACCAGUUGCUUUCAACCUUUCCCACACUGUGACCUUAUUUUCAAAGCACCUCCUUCCCAUUGGUACACAGCAUGUAAUUUUAUGUCUGUUCAGAAAAACAGGAUUCAACAGCUCUGUAGUGAACAGUUACAGGAUUAUUCAUGUGCUUAAAUUCAAACCUAACCCAUGUGUUGUGG